AGGCAUUUUAAAGUGUUUUUUUUAAAGAAAGUUCUUGACGCAUUUGUGCCUUACAUAACAAAUAAAGCAAGUUUUUCCUGA
Molecule: long non-coding RNA, 81 nt
Organism: Amblyraja radiata (thorny skate)
Lineage: Eukaryota; Metazoa; Chordata; Chondrichthyes; Rajiformes; Rajidae
Exons: 2
Source: RefSeq, a predicted model, not a curated record